This is a long non-coding RNA of Pyrus x bretschneideri (Chinese white pear), 1241 nucleotides long. RefSeq lists it as uncharacterized. The record is from RefSeq and is a predicted model, not a curated record. The transcript is spliced from 6 exons. NCBI's taxonomy places the organism in Eukaryota, Viridiplantae, Streptophyta, Magnoliopsida, Rosales, Rosaceae.
GAUUAAAGAAGCACGACGUCGUUCCAUUUUUUGUUUUUGACGACAGCACGCAGAGUUCCACGGUCGAGAGAUGUGGGUUCAGCCCCUUACAGUGGUCAUGACGGUGAAGCCGUGGAGCUCUCCUCACGGCGGCAGCCGCACAACCGCCUUUCUUGUUUCCUAAAAUCCCAAUAUUCCAUCUGCAUCGACGCAGCAACUGCCGAUACUCCCAAAACCCACUUUCAAUUCAAGGACUCCAUCCUUCCAAGUCCCAAACGCAACCGCUGCUAUCUUCUUCUUCUUCCUCCUCUGCUAUUACUCCGUCCGCACAAACCGUCAAGCUCAGCGAAUUCGAUCCACCGCCGAGUUGGGCCAUCUCUCUCCCCUCUUCGUCCUCUCCACGGAUUCUGCGGCGGUCUAUGAAGCAUGGAUACGGAUACGGCAGUAUGAUACGACACGACGAUGCGAAAAAUCUAUAAAAAUUAAGAUAUGGCGGCGGUUUUCUCCGUCGCUAUACUUUGUAUUCUAACAAUAAACGCUAUGAGAAGAUUGGCAGCUGCAGUGGACCAACUAUCCAAUGUGGUGUCCCGGGAGGUGCCCGGAAUGCUUUCUUCUCUCAAACUCUCCGGCGUUGAGAUCAACGACUUGGCCAAGCAGCUUGCCGCUCUCAGUUGCUGAUGAAGACUUGAGAGGAUUACCUGAAUGGUCCUGCCGACAUUGACCGGGCAGGCUUCAGCAAAGAUAUGGUCGUCGAGCUUGGCGGGCUUCAAAUGGCUGAUGCUGAGGUGAAUCCCGGCCACCCUUUGGAAACCAGAGGCCAGGCGAGCUCCCAUGCUGGCCAGGGCCUCAGAGAUGAGCGCUGAUAUCCCUCCAUGUAGCACCUUGAAUGGCUGGUCUCAGCAGGAAAGAAUGGGAAAAGAUUCAUGACACGAAAAGAGAAAGAAGAUGAUGAUGAUGACCUGGACGCAGUUUUCGGUGACAUGGAGGCGACCAGAGACCUUGUUGGGGCUUAUCUCUUCAAGCUCGAACCCGAGCGCACCUAGUGGAGCAUCCAGAGUCGACGUCGUCGAUGGCGGCAAUAACGACGGCGCUGAUGGCUGAGAUUGGGACUGUGAAGCCAUAUCUGUACCAAACAUUACUGCGAAUAUAUUUAACUGACAUACAUAUAUAUUGUGUGUAUAUAUAUAUGUAUGUCGCUGGAUUUGGUUUGUGUAUUGUUUUUAGACGAUGAAACCAAAGCAAUCCAAAUUGCCCUUCGAUUA